This 457-nucleotide ribosomal RNA is filed under the name uncultured bacterium. Its description in RNAcentral is "bacterial SSU rRNA". It matches the Rfam family "Bacterial small subunit ribosomal RNA", at positions 340 to 786 of the family's 1533-position model. The record is from RNAcentral.
UACGGAAGGCAGCAGUGGGGAAUAUUGCACAAUGGGCGCAAGCCUGAUGCAGCCAUGCCGCGUGUAUGAAGAAGGCCUUCGGGUUGUAAAGUACUUUCAGUCGUGAGGAAGGUGUUAAGGUUAAUAACCUUAGCAAUUGACGUUAGCGACAGAAGAAGCACCGGCUAACUCCGUGCCAGCAGCCGCGGUAAUACGGAGGGUGCGAGCGUUAAUCGGAAUUACUGGGCGUAAAGGGCACGCAGGCGGUUAAUUAAGUUGGAUGUGAAAUCCCCGGGCUUAACCUGGGAAUGGCAUUCAAGACUGGUUAGCUAGAGUCUUGUAGAGGGGGUUAGAAUUCCAUGUGUAGCGGUGAAAUGCGUAGAGAUGUGGAGGAAUACCGGGUGGCGAAGGCGGCCCCUGGGACAAAGGACUGACGCUCAUGUGCGAAAGCGUGGGGAGCAAACGAGGAUUAGAUACC